GGGGAAUAUUGCACAAUGGGCGCAAGCCUGAUGCAGCCAUGCCGCGGGUAUGAAGAAGGCCUUCGGGUUGUAAAGUACUGUCAGCGGGGAGGAAGGUGUUGUGGUUAAUAACCGCAGCAAUUGACGUUACCCGCAGAAGAAGCACCGGCUAACUCCGUGCCAGCAGCCGCGGUAAUACGGAGGGUGCAAGCGUUAAUCGGAAUUACUGGGCGUAAAGCGCACGCAGGCGGUCUGUCAAGUCGGAUGUGAAAUCCCCGGGCUCAACCUGGGAACUGCAUUCGAAACUCGCAGGCUAGAGUCUUGUAGAAGGUGGCGGAAUUCCAGGUGUAGGAGUGAAAUCCGUAGAUAUCUGGAGGAACAUCAGUGGCGAAGGCGGCCACCUGGACCGGUAUUGACGCUGAGGUGCGAAAGCGUGGGGAGCAAACA
This 426-nucleotide ribosomal RNA is filed under the name uncultured Leclercia sp. RNAcentral's name for it is "bacterial SSU rRNA". It matches the Rfam family "Bacterial small subunit ribosomal RNA", at positions 356 to 774 of the family's 1533-position model. Lineage: Bacteria; Pseudomonadati; Pseudomonadota; Gammaproteobacteria; Enterobacterales; Enterobacteriaceae. The record is from RNAcentral.